This 497-nucleotide ribosomal RNA is filed under the name uncultured bacterium. RNAcentral describes it as "partial 16S ribosomal RNA". It matches the Rfam family "Bacterial small subunit ribosomal RNA", at positions 28 to 507 of the family's 1533-position model. The record is from RNAcentral.
GAUGAACGCUGGCGGCGUGCCUAAUACAUGCAAGUCGAGCGAACAGACGAGGAGCUUGCUCCUCUGACGUUAGCGGCGGACGGGUGAGUAACACGUGGAUAACCUACCUAUAAGACUGGGAUAACUUCGGGAAACCGGAGCUAAUACCGGAUAAUAUAUUGAACCGCAUGGUUCAAUAGUGAAAGACGGUUUUGCUGUCACUUAUAGAUGGAUCCGCGCCGCGUUAGCUAGUUGGUAGGGUAACGGCUUACCAAGGCAACGAUGCGUAGCCGAGCUGAGAGAGUGAUCGGCCACACUGGAGCUGAGACACGGUCCAGACUCCUACGAGAGGCAGCAGUAGGGAAUCUUCCGCAAUGGGCGAAAGCCUGACGGAGCAACGCCGCGUGAGUGAUGAAGGUCUUCGGAUCGUAAAACUCUGUUAUUAGGGAAGAACAAAUGUGUAAGUAACUAUGCACGUCUUGACGGUACCUAAUCAGAAAGCCACGGCUAACUACGUG